RNAcentral lists this ribosomal RNA (161 nucleotides) under Citrobacter freundii. Its description in RNAcentral is "partial 16S ribosomal RNA". It matches the Rfam family "Bacterial small subunit ribosomal RNA", at positions 1 to 157 of the family's 1533-position model. Lineage: Bacteria; Pseudomonadati; Pseudomonadota; Gammaproteobacteria; Enterobacterales; Enterobacteriaceae. The record is from RNAcentral.
AAAUUGAAGAGUUUGAUCAUGGCUCAGAUUGAACGCUGGCGGCAGGCCUAACACAUGCAAGUCGAACGGUAGCACAGAGAGCUUGCUCUCGGGUGACGAGUGGCGGACGGGUGAGUAAUGUCUGGGAAACUGCCCGAUGGAGGGGGAUAACUACUGGAAAC